AUGCUGAUCUGGAAGAUGAACACGCUCUUCCUCUACGACCUCGUCAUCACCCAUGCGCUCGAAUGGCCCUCGCUCACCAUGAAGUGGCUGCCCGGUCGCAUUGAGCCCGUCGGCAAGGAGCACUCCAUGCAGAAGAUGGUGCUCGGGACCGACACCUCCGACAAUGAGCCGAACUACCUCAUGCUCGCUAGGUCAAGCUCCCCCUCGACGGUGCCGAGGCCGACGCGCGCCACUACGACGACGACCACGCCGACAUCAGUGGCUUCGGGGCCGCAUCCGGCAAGGUUUGAUGCUUCACCCCCCUUCCCCUCACAUCCCCCAAUAUCUCGUCCUCUGUCAUGUAUGGGUAAUUACUGCCGGUGUUGUUGUCCUGAGCUGUGUUGUGUGCUUGUGGAAUUUUGUUCUGGGUUGAUCUGCUUGCUCUGA
RNAcentral lists this ribosomal RNA (426 nucleotides) under Triticum aestivum (bread wheat). Its description in RNAcentral is "partial small subunit ribosomal RNA". Lineage: Eukaryota; Viridiplantae; Streptophyta; Magnoliopsida; Poales; Poaceae. The record is from RNAcentral.